ACGGAAGGCAGCAGUGAGGAAUAUUGGUCAAUGGACGCAAGUCUGAACCAGCCAUGCCGCGUGCAGGAAUAAGGCCCUAUGGGUCGUAAACUGCUUUUGUGGUGGAGCAAUAAGUCGUACGUGUACGGCGAUGAGAGUACAUCACGAAUAAGCAUCGGCUAACUCCGUGCCAGCAGCCGCGGUAAUACGGAGGAUGCAAGCGUUAUCCGGAUUUAUUGGGUUUAAAGGGUGCGUAGGCUGUGGUCCAAGUCAGGGGUGCAAGCCCGGAGCUCAACUCCGGAACUGCCUUUGAUACUGGAUUGCUGGAAUACGGAUGCCGUGGGAGGAAUGAGUAGUGUAGCGGUGAAAUGCAUAGAUAUUACUCAGAACACCGAUUGCGAAGGCAUCUCACGAAUCCGUCAUUGACGCUGAGGCACGAAAGCGUGGGGAUCAAACAGGAUUAGAUACCCUGGUA
This 454-nucleotide ribosomal RNA is filed under the name uncultured Rikenellaceae bacterium. RNAcentral describes it as "partial 16S ribosomal RNA". It matches the Rfam family "Bacterial small subunit ribosomal RNA", at positions 341 to 792 of the family's 1533-position model. The record is from RNAcentral. Lineage: Bacteria; Pseudomonadati; Bacteroidota; Bacteroidia; Bacteroidales; Rikenellaceae.